This 253-nucleotide ribosomal RNA is filed under the name uncultured bacterium. RNAcentral's name for it is "partial 16S ribosomal RNA". It matches the Rfam family "Bacterial small subunit ribosomal RNA", at positions 524 to 776 of the family's 1533-position model. The record is from RNAcentral.
UACGGGGGGGGCAAGCGUUGUUCGGAAUUACUGGGCGUAAAGGGCUCGUAGGCGGCCAACUAAGUCAGACGUGAAAUCCCUCGGCUUAACCGGGGAACUGCGUCUGAUACUGGGUGGCUUGAAUCCGGGAGAGGGAUGCGGAAUUCCAGGUGUAGCGGUGAAAUGCGUAGAUAUCUGGAGGAACACCGGUGGCGAAGGCGGCAUCCUGGACCGGUAUUGACGCUGAGGCGCGAAAGCCAGGGGAGCAAACGGG